Molecule: unclassified non-coding RNA, 465 nt
Filed under: Hevea brasiliensis (rubber tree)
Lineage: Eukaryota; Viridiplantae; Streptophyta; Magnoliopsida; Malpighiales; Euphorbiaceae
Source: RNAcentral
UCUGGACAGUCUUUGUAUGAUUUGCUUUUUUUGUUUUUUUUGCCAUUGAGAAAAAGCACCAUCUUGAAAAUAUUUAUAAGAGACCUCCAAAAUUUGAUAGUAUACCAAGCUGCUGUAAACACGAGCCAAACCAACGCCCUCUUUGCCAAAACAAUACAGUAAAAGCAAAUCAUACAAAGACUGUCCAGAAAUGCAAAAACUUAAAAUAACCCGCGCAACAUCAAGAGAGGUCAAAAUUUGAAUAGAUGCACACCUUGGCUAACAGAAAAAGCACCUUCUUGAAAGUGCUUACAUCUAUCCAGGGGCUCCAAUAUCACAGUCAAGUCAAAAUGUGGCCCUGGUUCAUCUUCCUCCAAUGCAAUCCUCCCAUCAAAAUGCACAUUCUUUUUCCUCAGGUGGAUACCAUACAAAAGAUGCGUGAUUUUGCUAACAGUUGGGCAGCUUCUCUUUGAACAGUCGUGGAAG